AGUGAACGCUGGCGGUAGGCCUAACACAUGCAAGUCGAACGGCAGCACAGGAGAGUUUGCUCUCUGGGUGGCGAGUGGCGGACGGGUGAGGAAUACAUCGGAAUCUACUCUGUCGUGGGGGAUAACGUAGGGAAACUUGCGCUAAUACCGCAUACGACCUACGGGUGAAAGCAGGGGAUCUUCGGACCUUGCGCGAUUGAAUGCGCCGAUGUCGGAUUAGCUAGUUGGCGGGGUAAAGGCCCACCAAGGCGACGAUCCGUAGCUGGUCUGAGAGGAUGAUCAGCCACACUGGAACUGAGACACGGUCCAGACUCCUACGGGAGGCAGCAGUGGGGAAUAUUGGACAAUGGGCGCAAGCCUGAUCCAGCCAUACCGCGUAGGUGAAGAAGGCCUUCGGGUUGUAAAGCCCUUUUGUUGGGAAAGAAAUCCAGCUGGCUAAUACCCGGUUGGGAUGACGGUACCCAAAGAAUAAGCACCGGCUAACUUCGUGCCAGCAGCCGCCGUAA
RNAcentral lists this ribosomal RNA (506 nucleotides) under uncultured bacterium. Its description in RNAcentral is "partial 16S ribosomal RNA". It matches the Rfam family "Bacterial small subunit ribosomal RNA", at positions 29 to 523 of the family's 1533-position model. The record is from RNAcentral.